UAACAAGGAUUCCCCUAGUAACUGCGAGUGAAGCGGGAAAAGCUCAAAUUUAAAAUCUGGCGGCAUUGGUCGUCCGAGUUGUAAUCUGGAGAAGCAUUUUCUGUGUCGGACCGUGCACAAGUUUCCUGGAACGGAAUGUCAUAGAGGGUGAGAAUCCCGUCCAUGGCACGGAUCACCGAUGCAUUGUGAUAUGCUCUCGAAGAGUCGAGUUGUUUGGGAAUGCAGCUCAAAAUGGGUGGUAAAUUCCAUCUAAAGCUAAAUAUUGGCGAGAGACCGAUAGCGAACAAGUACCGUGAGGGAAAGAUGAAAAGCACUUUGGAAAGAGAGUUAAACAGUACGUGAAAUUGUUGAAAGGGAAACGCUUGGAGUCAGUCGCGUUGGUCAGGAUUCAGUCGCUCUUACCGGAGUGGAUUACUUCCUGAUGAACGGGUCAACAUCGAUUUCGAACGGUGGACAAAGGGGAGAGAAAGGUGGCACCUUCGGGUGUGUUAUAGUCUCUCUUUCGCAUACACCGGUUGGGAUCGAGGAUCGCAGCACGCCUUUAUGGCCGGGGGUUCGCCUCACGUAACGUGCUUAGGAUGUUGGCAUAAUGGCUUUAAGCGACCCGUCUUGAAACACGGACCAAGGAGUCUAACAUGCUCGCGAGUGUUAGGGUGGAAAACCCUUGCGCGUAAUGAAAGUGAAAGUUGGGACCUUCGUCAUGGAGGGCACCGACGCCCGGCCUUGAACUCUUGUGACGGUGCUGCGGUAGAGCGCGUAUGUUGGGACCCGAAAGAUGGUGAACUAUGCCUGAAUAGGGCGAAGCCAGAGGAAACUCUGGUGGAGGCUCGUAGCGAUUCUGACGUGCAAAUCGAUCGUCAAAUUUGGG
Molecule: ribosomal RNA, 868 nt
Filed under: Hyphodontia pachyspora
Lineage: Eukaryota; Fungi; Basidiomycota; Agaricomycetes; Hymenochaetales; Schizoporaceae
Description: Hyphodontia sp. XWW-2020a partial large subunit ribosomal RNA
Rfam family: Eukaryotic large subunit ribosomal RNA
Source: RNAcentral